CGGUGAAGUAGGUGAACAAGCUGGAAAGCUUGGCGAUACAGGGUGAUAGCCCCGUAACCGACGCUUCAUCGAGCGUGAAAUCGAGUAGGGCGGGACACGUGAUAUCCUGUCUGAAUAUGGGGGGACCAUCCUCCAAGGCUAAAUACUCCUGACUGACCGAUAGUGAACCAGUACCGUGAGGGAAAGGCGAAAAGAACCCCUGUGAGGGGAGUGAAAUAGAACCUGAAACCGUGUACGUACAAGCAGUAGGAGCACCUUCGUGGUGUGACUGCGUACCUUUUGUAUAAUGGGUCAGCGACUUAUAUUCAGUGGCAAGGUUAACCGUAUAGGGGAGCCGUAGCGAAAGCGAGUCUUAACUGGGCGCUCAGUCUCUGGAUAUAGACCCGAAACCGGGUGAUCUAGCCAUGGGCAGGUUGAAGGUUGAGUAACAUCAACUGGAGGACCGAACCGACUAAUGUUGAAAAAUUAGCGGAUGACUUGUGGCUAGGGGUGAAAGGCCAAUCAAACUCGGAGAUAGCUGGUUCUCCCCGAAAGCUAUUUAGGUAGCGCCUCGGACGAAUACUACUGGGGGUAGAGCACUGUUAAGGCUAGGGGGUCAUCCCGACUUACCAACCCUUUGCAAACUCCGAAUACCAGUAAGUACUAUCCGGGAGACACACGGCGGGUGCUAACGUCCGUCGUGGAGAGGGAAACAACCCAGACCGCCAGCUAAGGUCCCAAAGUAUUGCUAAGUGGGAAACGAUGUGGGAAGGCUCAGACAGCUAGGAUGUUGGCUUAGAAGCAGCCAUCAUUUAAAGAAAGCGUAAUAGCUCACUAGUCGAGUCGGCCUGCGCGGAAGAUGUAACGGGGCUAAGCAAUACACCGAAGCUGCGGCAAUGUCUUUUAGAUAUUGGGUAGGGGAGCGUUCUGUAAGCCGUUGAAGGUGGAUCGUAAGGUUUGCUGGAGGUAUCAGAAGUGCGAAUGCUGACAUGAGUAACGACAAAGGGGGUGAAAAACCUCCUCGCCGGAAGACCAAGGGUUCCUGUCCAACGUUAAUCGGGGCAGGGUGAGUCGACCCCUAAGGUGAGGCCGAAAGGCGUAAUCGAUGGGAAACGGGUUAAUAUUCCCGUACUUCUGACUAUUGCGAUGGGGGGACGGAGAAGGCUAGGUGGGCCAGGCGACGGUUGUCCUGGUUCAAGUGCGUAGGCUUGAGAGUUAGGUAAAUCCGGCUCUCUCUAAGGCUGAGACACGACGUCGAGCUACUACGGUAGUGAAGUCAUUGAUGCCAUGCUUCCAGGAAAAGCCUCUAAGCUUCAGAUAGUCAGGAAUCGUACCCCAAACCGACACAGGUGGUCGGGUAGAGAAUACCAAGGCGCUUGAGAGAACUCGGGUGAAGGAACUAGGCAAAAUGGUACCGUAACUUCGGGAGAAGGUACGCUCUUGAUGGUGAAGUCCCUCGCGGAUGGAGCUGACGAGAGUCGCAGAUACCAGGUGGCUGCAACUGUUUAUUAAAAACACAGCACUGUGCAAAAUCGCAAGAUGACGUAUACGGUGUGACGCCUGCCCGGUGCCGGAAGGUUAAUUGAUGGGGUUAGCGCAAGCGAAGCUCUUGAUCGAAGCCCCGGUAAACGGCGGCCGUAACUAUAACGGUCCUAAGGUAGCGAAAUUCCUUGUCGGGUAAGUUCCGACCUGCACGAAUGGCGUAAUGAUGGCCACGCUGUCUCCACCCGAGACUCAGUGAAAUUGAAAUCGCUGUGAAGAUGCAGUGUACCCGCGGCUAGACGGAAAGACCCCGUGAACCUUUACUACAGCUUGGCACUGAACAUUGAACCUACAUGUGUAGGAUAGGUGGGAGGCUAUGAAGACGUGACGCCAGUUGCGUUGGAGCCGUCCUUGAAAUACCACCCUUGUAUGUUUGAUGUUCUAACUUAGCCCCAUUAUCUGGGGUGAGGACAGUGCCUGGUGGGUAGUUUGACUGGGGCGGUCUCCUCCCAAAGAGUAACGGAGGAGCACGAAGGUGGGCUAAUCACGGUUGGACAUCGUGAGGUUAGUGCAAUGGCAUAAGCCCGCUUAACUGCGAGAAUGACGGUUCGAGCAGGUGCGAAAGCAGGUCAUAGUGAUCCGGUGGUUCUGUAUGGAAGGGCCAUCGCUCAACGGAUAAAAGGUACUCCGGGGAUAACAGGCUGAUACCGCCCAAGAGUUCAUAUCGACGGCGGUGUUUGGCACCUCGAUGUCGGCUCAUCACAUCCUGGGGCUGAAGUCGGUCCCAAGGGUAUGGCUGUUCGCCAUUUAAAGUGGUACGCGAGCUGGGUUUAGAACGUCGUGAGACAGUUCGGUCCCUAUCUGCCGUGGGCGUUGGAAGAUUGAAGGGGGCUGCUCCUAGUACGAGAGGACCGGAGUGGACGAACCUCUGGUGUUCGGGUUGUGUCGCCAGACGCAUUGCCCGGUAGCUAAGUUCGGAAUUGAUAAGCGCUGAAAGCAUCUAAGCGCGAAGCGAGCCCUGAGAUGAGUCUUCCCUGAUACUUUAAGUAUCCUAAAGGGUUGUUCGAGACUAGAACGUUGAUAGGCAGGGUGUGUAAGCGUUGUGAGGCGUUGAGCUAACCUGUACUAAUUGCCCGUGAGGCUUAACCA
RNAcentral lists this ribosomal RNA (2610 nucleotides) under Vibrio cholerae. RNAcentral's name for it is "partial 23S ribosomal RNA". It matches the Rfam family "Bacterial large subunit ribosomal RNA", at positions 322 to 2925 of the family's 2925-position model. Lineage: Bacteria; Pseudomonadati; Pseudomonadota; Gammaproteobacteria; Vibrionales; Vibrionaceae. The record is from RNAcentral.